AAGAGCGCCUCAUGCGGCGCGAAGGGACAAGUGCUGCAAAAUCUGUUUUUCUACCAGAUUUUAUUGAAACUGCAGUGGGUUUGUUCAUCUUACUAUUACUGCCUUUCCUGCACAGACUGGUGACCUUUGACCCCUAUGGAGUCAGUGAGUCUGAUGAACUCCUCAGCACUGUCCAAUGACACCAGCCGGUCCUGAGAGGAUGGAGGCACACGACAGGAAGAGAACGGGCAGAUGCAGAUGAUACAAUGAGGAGGGAGGAAGCAAAGGAAGACAAAAUGAAACGCGUGGAGGGGGGAACAGGGACGUGUGGUCCAGCAGCUGUUUCAACAGGUCAGAGGCUCUGUUGAGCUGCUCCUGGUCUGGACCGGGCCGGAUCUGUCUGUGCACAUGGAGCAGGGCGUCCGCCUCGCGCUGGUAAC
Molecule: long non-coding RNA, 419 nt
Organism: Betta splendens (Siamese fighting fish)
Lineage: Eukaryota; Metazoa; Chordata; Actinopteri; Anabantiformes; Osphronemidae
Exons: 3
Source: RefSeq, a predicted model, not a curated record